UUUUUUUUUUUUUUUUUUUGGUGAAUGAUUGAUUAAGGUAGGAGAUAGAGAUAGGCCAUAUGCAUCACCCGUAAAAACAGUUCAUAUUUUCUGUUUAUGCAAUUGUUUAUGGAACUUGUGGUUUGCAUUCAACAUUCUGAAAAGCCAACUUAUAGUUUGUUUCUCCUUUUUUUCACUCGUUAUAGAUAGUUGUGCAGGCGGCAAAUAUAGAUAAACGUUAAAAAAUUUUGACAGAUAAUUAAGGCUUUCUGUUGUAUAAAUGCAGGAUCUAUAAGCCCAUCAGUUAUCUUCAUCCGAUAGUUCCUAGCUACCCCUGUGAUAUAUGAACAUUAUAGGGCAAACCUAUAGAAGAAGAAAAAAAUGAAAAAUAGAGUGAUAUAUACUCUCUCGUCCCAUUGACAGUGUCAUAUUUUUCUUUUUUAUCUGUCCUAAAAUAAUUGCCACUUACUAAAAUUGGCAAUGAAAUCUUUCACACAUUUCUAUUACAUACCCUUCAACGUGACAACCCUUUCUUAUCUUUUAGUGGACCUAAUUAUGCACUUACCAAGUACCAACACUGCACUUAAUAGUUUGUGACUCCCACGUGAAAUGCAAAUAACAAUUGUGCAUGAUACUUUCCUCUAAAGUAGUGUGGAGACAUUUCAUUCUUUUGGGUUCCACGUGUCUUAUCAUACCUUGUGGCCUUUUUAUCAUUCAAUCUCGUAUGAAUACAUUGAAAGUCAGGCGAGGUAUUACCGGAAAUUAAACGCAAAUCAUUUAAAAGUUUAUUAAACUGUGUGAAAAAAGAAUCAGGACUAUCAAAGUGGGACGGAUGGAGUACAAGUCUCCCGAAGUGAGACACACUUUCUGGGGCGGAGGGGCGGAGGGAGUACUUUCUGACGUAGUAACAAUAUCCUGUAAUACUUUUAGAUGUAGAACGUAUAGACAAUGCAACUUUAUUGCUAAAGAACAGAGUGCUGAACAAAAUUGUUAAGUUUUAAAACUAUUAUUGUAUUUGACAUAAAAUGCCAGCCGUGAAUAGAGUAAAUGGAGCAAAAUGUCGUCAAACUAUUACUUUUAUCGCUUUUCGUCACUUAAUUAUUUUUGUAGCUAAAAAUAUCACAUAACUUUUUUCGUAGCUAAAAAAUGGCAUUUAACUUUUUUUUCUUAACUAAAAAUAUCACUCAACUAUUUAAAGAUAACUUAUCAGUAAUUACGUUAAGUUUGUGCAUCAAAGCCAUGGAAAAGUAACGCACGUGACUUGCACGAGAGACCGUUGAAGGGUAAAAAUGUCCGAAUUUUCUUUUAGAGACAAUUUGGAAAAAUGAACAAUAUUCUCAGUGUCAAAAUUAGUUAUAUUAAAGGAUCAAGAACUUUAACUAAAAUACAUAGAACUGCUCAUAUGCUCUCUGCGGACAUCACCUAAGCUACAGGAGAUUAUUUGUGCUUUUAGGAUUUUUAUUGUUCCACAAGGAGAAAACUAGAAGCUAGGAGAAGCUAAUAUCAUUUCUGUGCUUUUAGGAUUUUUUUUUUUUUUUGAGACUCUGACUAUUUUGUCCUGGAGCUCUUUGUCCAUAUCAUGCAUGCGAUUUUCUGGUAGCAUUUAUGGCCUAAAUUUAAAAGAAUGACCAAAAAGUUGCGUUGUUUUUAAUAGUUGUGUGACACUUUUUACUAAGGGAAAAAAAAAAGUUUAAGUGACAUUUUUUACUAAGAAAAAAGUUAGGUGACAGUGAGAGAUAAAAGGUAUUAAUUUGAUCACAUUUUGGCCUGAAGUGAAAAUAACAAUGACAAUAAACAAAUCGUACAAAUGUAAGAAUGAACGGAAACAAUUUCUCCUGGCCCUGACCCUGGCCCGCAUAAGAGCCCAUCUCACAAAGAGCCCUGAAAGUACUUUCGCCACAACAAAAGCGUGAAAAAAAAAAAGAAAAAAGAAAAGAAAGAAGCCAUCCAUAGAGGAGCCAAGUGGCGGGGGCUGUCCCUUUCCGACCGACGAGGAAAACAUACAACGUGCCGAGGGAGGAUAGGUAAAUUAAACCGUGCACGUGGAUAGACGUUGCUAUCCUCAGAUUGCACAAGGAGAUAAGGAAAUCCAGGUCGACCAAUCGUGGAUAAACUGAGAAACAAACGUAGACUAAGAUUUUACGUGAAAUAUCGCAUGGGAGUUUCCUCCAGGUGUACUAGCCUUCAAAAUUUUAGAAAUUUUUCGUACGCUGUACAUAACAAAUGAAGAGGGGCAGGAACGGUUCAUUGGCUAAGAUUUGGUAAAAAAAAAUUAUAAGAUUCAAAUUUCAUCUUGACCCUCGUUUUUUAACAAUGUGCGUGUGAGACUCACCAAAUUUUGAUUUAGACUUACACAUUAUUGAAAGUAAAUUACACUGCAUGUAAAAUGCACAAAACUUUCAGGAAUCGUUCUUGCCCCGGGUCCACAUAUAAAACUUCGUGCACGUCAAAUGUUUUCGACGUAUUCUGAUUCUGGUCAUAAUCUAACCACAUUAAGUUACAUGAUCGAAGUUCAAAAAGAAAAGAAAAACAAAAAAAAAAUUGAAUAUCAGCAGCUCAAACUGUUGACGCUUGACAAAAGUUCAGAUGGAGCAAAUACUGGCAUAUGACGAGCGAUACUGGAAUUUGCUGACAAUUUGUUCCCCAGCCAAUUAAUAAUGUUUUGCUGCAGUAUUAAUUGUGUUUGACAAUAAUGUCGUUAAAUCUUGACUAUGUAGUUUAUGAGUAGGAGUUCGAAAGCUGGAUUCUGUUGGAAUGCCUGAUAACAUUUUGUGGCUCAGCACACUUCGUGAUAUCAUCCUAAACAAAGAAUGAAUGCUAUGAAACUGGAUGGAGUCUUUAUUCACAGAUUUCUUGUGGCCAGUUUUUUUUUCCUUCCUUUUUUUUUUUUUUUUGUGUAGGAGAAUAAGCUCCCAUCUCAAUCAAGCUUCAUAAAAAUCGUAAUGAAUGGCAAAAUUUCAUGCUCGUAUGGAUAUUGUAAUGAAAGUCUUGUACGGUUAAUUCUAUAUAUGCCCCCCGAUGCAGUGUGGCAGAAAACAACAAUAUUGAUGUCAUCAAGUAUAUUGCGAGUCCUUAAACCACAUUGAUGUUUAUAUGGUGGCCUUUGAUGAGGAUUAUUUGCAUCUUUGUGACUAAAACUUGUAAAUGACCUGCUCAUAAUGCCUUCACAAAUUGAACAACAGCUUUGGCGGCAUUUGAAGCUGCCAGAGGCCCAAAUAAGUCGAUUGGAUUCUGGCCUUCUUGUGCUCCAGCUUGGUCGGAUAGUCCUCGGAUGACAAUAACCGGAAACCCAUUUGACAGACUUGUCUGAAAGGCCAGAACACACACACAGUUAAUUAUCUUGGUUGUUAAAGGAAUGAUUCUGAGAAACGAUGAUUGAAAUCUGUUGAAAAUUGAAAGGUAUGUGAAAAUUGAUCCAACUUCUUGGUUUCUGCAUUUGUCAAGACGAAUUUAGACUGCAGAUUUGCAGAACAGGUGAUCAAGAACAUGACCAAGCCUGAGUUGUAAUGGCUGAAAUACACGGACAAGAGAAGGGAACUUGCCAUGACCACGGCUACACUCUCCAUAUCCACUGAGGAGACGUGGAAAGUUUUGUAUAGGAACUCCCCAUAAGCUGCAUUGUCAAGGAAAAUGUCAGCAGUUGCGCCGCUGAGUCCAACAACUAGCUUGGGCCUUUGAGUUAGGCACGAGCUCGAGUUCACGCACUGCUCCAGCACCAUCCCCUGUAACAGGAAAAAUAGCACGAGUCUUGAGUAUCUUUGACACUUAAUAAUUGCUAAGGUUUUUCAGGCUUCAGAACCUGAACGAAUGCAACGGAUCAUAAGCAUGGUUCGAAGUCUCGGCCGAGACCGAGACGAGAUGACUCCAAGAUACUUGACUCGCCAAGAACUUGGUCGAGUCACCGAGAAUUCGAUCGAGAAAUCUCCGAUACAGAUAGUCUUGGCCCAGUCGACCCGAGUCAUCUCGAGUCAACUCGCAAAUUUACAUUUUGCAAAUUUUCUUUUGCCAAUUGUUUUAUUAUUUUUGUUUAACAUAUUUUUGAAUAUUAUUUAUAAUUUUUAAAAUAUUAAAUGCUUCAAAAUUUACGUCUCGUUUGUCAAAACCGUAACCAAUAUACCAAGAUUGAUGUAAAACGAUUCGCACCGCGACCGCAACCGCGACUUUGAACCAUGAUCAUAAGGGAGUCCUAUACUAAUAAAUCUUCGAUUGAGAAAGAAGAGGAAAAAUACAGAAGAUAAGAGAAGGAAUUGUGUCGAGUCAUUUCUUACCUCAAGAUGAGUGUGUGCUAAUUCAAGCCAAUUCUUGCUUACGUGAAACCAAAGCUUUCUUUGAGCAGUAUUGGGCUUUCCCGACUUCGAAAAGAACUGCUCAGUGCUGUAUCCAAUGCUCCCCAAUUGAUUAUAUCCUCCGGAAGGCUCACUGUAGGCUCCAAAAUCCAAUUCAGUAAAAUCACCUGCUGGGACUGUCGCAUUAGGCUUCUGCUCAGGAAAAAGAUUCAUGUAAAUCAGUCGAAAACAGAUGUAUUAACAUGUUAAAAGCAAGAAAUGGAAGUUACGAGCCAAUCCCAUAAGCCCGCCUGAGCAAACUGCUUGGGGAUGGUAACAUCUCCUAUGGACAUGGAAUUAUUAAUACUGCCCGCGAUGCCAAAAUGCACUACUCCAAUUACAUCAAACAUAUCUAACAUUUGUUGCGUUGCUGCUGCAGCAUUCACCUGAGUGAAACAGGAUGAUGUUUGUAAGGUUGUCGUUGACCAAAAGGGAAACCCAAAAAAAUAAGACGAAGUACAGGAAAAAAAAUACAUAAAUCAUAGAAAUUAAGCACUUUAUGUUGGAAAUUUCUCUUUGUCUAAUAUUGUUCAGUUCGCUGCAUCUAAUCUUAGCUCCUUUAGAAAUGCAUCAAUACUUUCUCAUGUCCCAAUUCAAAGGGCUCCUAUACUUUUAAAAAAACAAUAAUAACAAUAAGAAUAAUCUGACUCAGCCGCGAACUAGAGAAAAUAUGAAGCCUACCAUUCCAACCCCGCAUCUCACAUAAAUGACUUUCUUUUUUCCCAUCUUCCCUACUCGGAAACGCCUGCCUGCAAGAGAAUAGUAGAAACCAGGACCUCUUCCUCAAUAAUCAAAGUUAUAUACGGACGGACUUUACCUGACAAGUCGACAUAAGGGUGUUUUUGGUGUGGUUUGAAUGCACCAGUGUCAAAGAAAGCAUCUUCUUCUGGGGGAUAAACCGUGAUCAAACCAAGAUAAGGCCCCCUAAGGUUAACCUCCUUCAGUAUUGUUAAUGAAGAUUCUAAUUUUUCUGCUGAUGACAAAAGGGCUGACAAUGACAGACAACACAACAGAGCGGAAGCAAGAUCAAUCAUCACUAAUCCUCUUUCAGUGACUUGUUUUGCAGCCAUUGUCGCAUUUCUUUUAGCAUAGACGAUAACUAAUGUUGCUUGGGAUUUCUUUUGUGCUCAAGCAGUCAAGGCCUAUUACUCAGUCGUGUCUGUCCCUUUCAAAUCUUCGAAAAAAUCUUCGAAAAAGAUCUGAGCAUUGAAGAAGGACAAGUUCAUAUUUGGCUCAUUUAUUGGAUUUUCAACCAUACUUGCAUGAGUCCACAUCUUCCAUUCAAAAGUUUGACUAAUUGGAUCAGUCCGGAACUAAUACGUUACUGCUACUAAGGAGUAGGGAAAGGUCUGAGUCAUCGAGGGAGAAGGUAAAAUGAAAUAGCAACUUUUGACAAUUUAUGACAACAUUUGACAUGAGGGCAGGCUUUAGGAACAGAUUCUCGCAAUCAGCAACAAUAAGCAAAUACAUUGGCUUCAAAGCGUACAAGCAAAUUCAAUCAAAUCCCAGAACAUUAAAGAGCUUCAAGCGAUGGCUUAAGAACCCUCCCUGCACUCUAAAUUCUUGCCCACCCUUCUUUCUGGAUGCACGUAACAUUGCUUGUCUUUGUUCUUACAUGCAUAUAGAGGUUGGGCAUUUAGUUGAAAGAAAACACUCUUGAAGCACCAACCGACCAAGGAGCCUUGCACACAGUCAUAUUCUGUAGUACAAACUUGAAUAUUAAAAUACUCUGUUGCACAUUAACUGAAAGUCAUGAAGCAAAAGAAGAUGGGUGUUGGAAUUUUGUUGAACCAAGACAGAAGCAGAUGUGAAAUUUUAAUCACUUUCUUAUAGUAAUAAAGUUCCUCUGGAGCAUCCAAAUGUGUUCAGAUCCCCGUGUUCCUCUACAAUAUCGUUACAUCGAAAGAAUAUGUUGUCAAAAUCAUAACAGAAUUCACCGGUUCUGAAGGGCCUCUAUUGCUUUCUUCCACUGAAGUGCUCUUUGUUUUGCAUCCUCAAAGGACAUGACUUUCUUCGGC
RNAcentral lists this long non-coding RNA (6322 nucleotides) under Coffea arabica (coffee). RNAcentral's name for it is "long non-coding RNA (CARA_LNC001546)". Lineage: Eukaryota; Viridiplantae; Streptophyta; Magnoliopsida; Gentianales; Rubiaceae. The record is from RNAcentral.